AGAACGAUACAGAAAAAAUGGGUACGAAGGAAUCUGACAAAUACACAACUCAUCUUCAAUAGAAAUGGUAGAAUAAGGAGAAGGGAGGGUGGAGAAAGGUUCAGAACAGAGGUGUCGUUUCACCCCUCAGACUGCAGAGAGGGAGGGGGGGGACGACGACAGGUCAGAGAGGGAGGGGGGGGACGACGACAGGUCAGAGAGGGAGGGUGGAGAAAGGUUCAGAACAGAGGUGUCGUUUCACCCCUCAGACUGCAGAGAGGGAGGGGGGGGGACGACGACAGGUCAGAGAGGGAGGGGGGGACGACGACAGGUCAGAGAGGGAGGGUGGAGAAAGGUUCAGAACAGAGGUGUCGUUUCACCCCUCAGACUGCAGAGAGGGAGGGGGACGGGACGACGACAGGUCAGAGAGGGGGGGGGGGACGACAGGUCAGAGAGGGAGGGGGGGGACGACGACAGGUCAGAGAGGGAGGGGGGGACGACGACAGGUCAGAGAGGGAGGGGGGGAC
This 506-nucleotide long non-coding RNA is filed under the name Salmo trutta (river trout). RNAcentral's name for it is "lncRNA (ENSSTUG00000008927.1)". Lineage: Eukaryota; Metazoa; Chordata; Actinopteri; Salmoniformes; Salmonidae. The record is from RNAcentral.